UACGUAGGGACCGAGCGUUGUCCGGAAUCAUUGGGCGUAAAGAGCGUGUAGGCGGCCUUUUAAGUCCUGCGUGAAAUCCUGCGGCUCAACCGCAGACGGUCGUGGGAAACUGGAAGGCUAGAGUGCGGGAGAGGAGAGUGGAAUUCCCGGUGUAGCGGUGAAAUGCGCAGAUAUCGGGAGGAACACCGGUGGCGAAGGCGGUUCUCUGGGCCUGUUCUGACGCUGAGGAGCGAAAGCGUGGGGAGCGAACAGG
Molecule: ribosomal RNA, 253 nt
Filed under: uncultured bacterium
Lineage: Bacteria
Description: partial 16S ribosomal RNA
Rfam family: Bacterial small subunit ribosomal RNA
Source: RNAcentral